AACUGGUCCUUCCCACACUACCUUCACCAAGGCAAUCUCUCUACCAUGCAACUACUUCACUUCCCGAUCCUUUAUCAAUAUGGGUGAUGUCUUAACAGUCAUGUCAUCUCUCUAUGCACAUCAUUCACCUAGAUCAGAUGAGACGGAUCCAGAAUGUAUCUCCUUAAAUGAGACACAUGAAAUACAUCAUGAAGAUUAGCAAGUGGCGGCGGCAGAGAAA
Molecule: long non-coding RNA, 220 nt
Filed under: Lathyrus oleraceus (garden pea)
Lineage: Eukaryota; Viridiplantae; Streptophyta; Magnoliopsida; Fabales; Fabaceae
Description: Pisum sativum (pea) long non-coding RNA (PSAT_LNC014314)
Source: RNAcentral